UUUGAAUGAUGGUAUUUUUGCGAAGCCAGUUUUAUACCAUUGUACAUACGAUUUUGCUAUAUCUUACUCGAAAGAUUUUUUCUUAUCUAUCACUCGAUUUUCUCUCUUAAUUUUACAUUGUAUUUUCUUGUAAGUUACAGUGUAAUUUAUGAAACUUACACUGUAACUUUUGUAAGUUACACUGUAAUUUUU
This 192-nucleotide small nuclear RNA is filed under the name Oryza sativa Indica Group (long-grained rice). RNAcentral's name for it is "U2 spliceosomal RNA". Lineage: Eukaryota; Viridiplantae; Streptophyta; Magnoliopsida; Poales; Poaceae. The record is from RNAcentral.